UCCCUCUUAGCUCAGUUGGUAGAGCGCGUCACUAGUAAAUUCGAAAUGACGAGGUCAGUCGUUCAAAUCGGCUAGAGGGAA
Transfer RNA from Plicaturopsis crispa FD-325 SS-3, 81 nucleotides. It matches the Rfam family "tRNA". Rfam says of the family: Transfer RNA (tRNA) molecules are approximately 80 nucleotides in length. Lineage: Eukaryota; Fungi; Basidiomycota; Agaricomycetes; Amylocorticiales; Amylocorticiaceae. The record is from Rfam.